RNAcentral lists this ribosomal RNA (492 nucleotides) under uncultured bacterium. Its description in RNAcentral is "partial 16S ribosomal RNA". It matches the Rfam family "Bacterial small subunit ribosomal RNA", at positions 29 to 507 of the family's 1533-position model. The record is from RNAcentral.
AGUGAACGCUGGCGGUAGGCCUAACACAUGCAAGUCGAACGGCAGCACAGUAAGAGCUUGCUCUUACGGGUGGCGAGUGGCGGACGAGUGAGGAAUACAUCGGAAUCUACUUUUUCGUGGGGGAUAACGUAGGGAAACUUACGCUAAUACCGCAUACGACCUACGGGUGAAAGCAGGGGAUCUUCGGACCUUGCGCGAUUGAAUGAGCCGAUGUCGGAUUAGCUAGUUGGCGGGGUAAAGGCCCACCAAGGCGACGAUCCGUAGCUGGUCUGAGAGGAUGAUCAGCCACACUGGAACUGAGACACGGUCCAGACUCCUACGGGAGGCAGCAGUGGGGAAUAUUGGACAAUGGGCGCAAGCCUGAUCCAGCCAUACCGCGUGGGUGAAGAAGGCCUUCGGGUUGUAAAGCCCUUUUGUUGGGAAAGAAAAGCAGCAGGUUAAUACCCCGCUGUUCUGACGGUACCCAAAGAAUAAGUACCGGCUAACUUCGUG